GUGAGGAAUUUUCCGCAAUGGGCGAAAGCCUGACGGAGCAAUGCCGCGUGAAGGAUGAAGGCCUAUGGGUUGUAAACUUCUUUUCUCAGAAAAGAAUUAUGACGGUAUCUGAGGAAUAAGCAUCGGCUAACUCUGUGCCAGCAGCCGCGGUAAGACAGAGGAUGCAAGCGUUAUCCGGCAUGAUUGGGCGUAAAGCGUCUGUAGGUUGUUUAAAAAGUAUUCUGUCAAAGAUUAGGGCUUAACCCUAGAUAGGCAGAAUAAACUUUUAAGCUAGAGUUUGGUAGAGGCAGAGGGAAUUCCCGGUGGAGCGGUGAAAUGCGUAGAUAUCGGGAGGAACACCAAAGGCGAAGGCACUCUGCUGGGCCAAUACUAACACUGAGAGACGAAAGCGAGGGGAGCAAAUGGGAUUAGAAACCCUAGUAGUCC
RNAcentral lists this ribosomal RNA (426 nucleotides) under uncultured bacterium. Its description in RNAcentral is "partial 16S ribosomal RNA". It matches the Rfam family "Bacterial small subunit ribosomal RNA", at positions 354 to 796 of the family's 1533-position model. The record is from RNAcentral.